GAAGUAUAGCCUAGUAGGUAGGGCAACAGUUUGCUAAACUGUCGAGUUAAUAGCUCUCGUGGGUUCGAAUCCCUCUACUUCC
Molecule: transfer RNA, 82 nt
Filed under: uncultured Fusobacterium sp.
Lineage: Bacteria; Fusobacteriati; Fusobacteriota; Fusobacteriia; Fusobacteriales; Fusobacteriaceae
Rfam family: tRNA
About the family: Transfer RNA (tRNA) molecules are approximately 80 nucleotides in length. Their secondary structure includes four short double-helical elements and three loops (D, anti-codon, and T loops).
Source: RNAcentral